AAAAAAAUUAAAUAAUUAAUGAUAAUAAUUAUUUAAUAAUUAUUAAAUAAAAUUUAUAUAAAAUUAUUAUUAAACACGCUUAAAAUUUUUAAAACUCUUAAAAUUUUAUAUCCGUCAAAAUUUAAUAUAAAAAUAAAAAAAAAAUUUAAAAAUUAUCAUUAAAACCUUAAAAUUUUUCAAAAUUUUGGAGGCUCAACGCCCCCCUUCCUACCUCUGGCUCCGUCUCUGUGUGGAAGCAUAUUUAUAUCUCUUCAACUGUGCUCUACUCGAAAGGCAAAGAACAAAGAUUUUUUUUACUACUUCAAAUAUAUAAAUAUAAAUAUGAAAGAUUACAAUUUUCAUAAAAAGAUCCAAACUCUGUAAUCUGCAUUUCAUCCUGUGUCCUUUGUUUAGAGGCAUCGGGAAUGCUCCUGUUUCAUCUUUCGCUUUAUAUCCUCUUAUAUAUUGAUCUUCUAUACAAUAUGGAACAAAUUAAGAUGAGAGUCUGUGUAAACUGAUUCCAAGGCACUCUCACCAUAAAUUAUUCUUCUAUAAUUUAUUUAUUUAUCGAUUCUUAUAUUAUUAAAGAUGUUUCAAACUAAAUUAAACAACGUAUCAUAAUUAAAAAAUUAUUAUUAUUAUAAAAACAAGACUAUAUUUAUAUUUAUUGUUAAAAUCAAAUCGGAGAAUUGAUUUUUU
RNAcentral lists this unclassified non-coding RNA (678 nucleotides) under Hevea brasiliensis (rubber tree). The record is from RNAcentral. Lineage: Eukaryota; Viridiplantae; Streptophyta; Magnoliopsida; Malpighiales; Euphorbiaceae.